GGAAUCUUCCACAAUGGACGCAAGUCUGAUGGAGCAACGCCGCGUGAGUGAAGAAGGGUUUCGGCUCGUAAAGCUCUGUUGUUAAAGAAGAACAUAUCUGAGAGUAACUGUUCAGGUAUUGACGGUAUUUAACCAGAAAGCCACGGCUAACUACGUGGCAG
RNAcentral lists this ribosomal RNA (161 nucleotides) under uncultured bacterium. Its description in RNAcentral is "partial 16S ribosomal RNA". It matches the Rfam family "Bacterial small subunit ribosomal RNA", at positions 358 to 511 of the family's 1533-position model. The record is from RNAcentral.